RNAcentral lists this ribosomal RNA (459 nucleotides) under Bacillus sp. (in: firmicutes). RNAcentral's name for it is "bacterial SSU rRNA". It matches the Rfam family "Bacterial small subunit ribosomal RNA", at positions 69 to 513 of the family's 1533-position model. Lineage: Bacteria; Bacillati; Bacillota; Bacilli; Caryophanales; Bacillaceae. The record is from RNAcentral.
CAGAAGGGAGCUUGCUCCCGGAUGUUAGCGGCGGACGGGUGAGUAACACGUGGGUAACCUGCCUGUAAGACUGGGAUAACUCCGGGAAACCGGAGCUAAUACCGGAUAGUUCCUUGAACCGCAUGGUUCAAGGAUGAAAGACGGUUUCGGCUGUCACUUACAGAUGGACCCGCGGCGCAUUAGCUAGUUGGUGGGGUAAUGGCUCACCAAGGCGACGAUGCGUAGCCGACCUGAGAGGGUGAUCGGCCACACUGGGACUGAGACACGGCCCAGACUCCUACGGGAGGCAGCAGUAGGGAAUCUUCCGCAAUGGACGAAAGUCUGACGGAGCAACGCCGCGUGAGUGAUGAAGGUUUUCGGAUCGUAAAGCUCUGUUGUUAGGGAAGAACAAGUGCGAGAGUAACUGCUCGCACCUUGACGGUACCUAACCAGAAAGCCACGGCUAACUACGUGCCAGCA